This 1202-nucleotide long non-coding RNA is filed under the name Homo sapiens (human). RNAcentral describes it as "HSALNT0365158". The record is from RNAcentral. Lineage: Eukaryota; Metazoa; Chordata; Mammalia; Primates; Hominidae.
AGAAGGGAGAGCUUAAAGGCACAGGGCCCUCUUAUCCCUUUAAAAUCUGAUCAGAGAUCUGCCCUCCCCUACUCCACUCUGUACCACUCAUAAUUUUAGAUGGGGAUGGGGGCUUAAGAGUGGACCCAACUCAACCCACCCUGCAAUAAACCCAACCUCUUCUUUCUGCUUCUUGGUUGUGAAUGAGGAGAAAGACCUCCCAGUUCAAGUGUAAACAACUUACUGUGGUGGUGGAAUCAAAAGCCAAGGUGCAGGAAAAACAGAACCAAAUUCUUCACCCAAAAGCAGCCUGUUCGGGCAGAUUGGGAAGGAACACCUGCCCUGAUCCCUGAUGUCCGUGGAAGAGGAUCCAGCUGGGGGUGGGGAUGCUGUUUACCAAUACAGAGCAGCUGGCAACUUCAAGUGUGGGCCUUUCAGACCGGCAUCAUCAGUGUUACGGGGAAGUCACUAGAAAUGCAGAAUUGAUUGGGCACGGUGGCUCACACCUGUAAUCCCAACACUCUGGGAGGCCAAGGCGGGUGGAUCACUUGUGGUCAGGAGUUUGAGACCAGCCUGGCCAACAUGGUGAAACCUCAUCUCUACUAAAAAUGCAAAAAUUAGCUGGGAAUGGUGGCACAUGCCUAUAAUCCCAGUUACUCAGGAGGCUGAGGCAGGAGAAUCGUUUGAACCUGGGAGGCAGAGGUUGCAGUGAGCCGAGAUCACGCCACUGCACUCCAGCCUGGGUGACACAGCGAGACUCUGUCUCAAAAAAAAAAAAAAAUGCAGAAUUUCAGGCUUCACCCCAGACCCACUGCAUGACUGCAUGAGAAGCUGCAUCUUAACAAGAUCCCUGGUAAUUCAUACGCAUAUUAAAUUUGGAGAUGCACUGGCGUAAGACCCUCCUACUCUCUGCUUAGGCCCAUGAGUUCUUCCUUUACUGUCAUUCUCCACUCACCCCAAACUUUGAGCCUACCCUUCCCACCUUGGCGGUAAGGACACAACCUCCCUCACAUUCCUACCAGGACCCUAAGCUUCCCUGGGACUGAGGAAGAUAGAAUAGUUCGUGGAGCAAACAGAUAUACAGCAACAGUCUCUGUACAGCUCUCAGGCUUCUGGAAGUUCUACAGCCUCUCCCGACAAAGUAUUCCACUUUCCACAAGUAACUCUAUGUGUCUGAGUCUCAGUUUCCACUUUUCUCUCUCUCUCUCUCUCUCAAUUUUCUG